Tachyglossus aculeatus (Australian echidna) is the source of this 138-nucleotide small nucleolar RNA. NCBI's taxonomy places the organism in Eukaryota, Metazoa, Chordata, Mammalia, Monotremata, Tachyglossidae. The record is from RefSeq and is a predicted model, not a curated record.
GAACUCUCAGGAUCGCAUCUGGAGAGUUUCCAGUCCUCUACCAGUCUCGACUACGAGAGGGAGAGUCAAGCAGAGGCAUACCCCUUCCAUUACUAGCGUGGGCAGUGGCUACUGAGUGGAAGGCAAUCCGCUACAAGU